Small nuclear RNA from Saimiri boliviensis boliviensis (Bolivian squirrel monkey), 107 nucleotides. The record is from RefSeq and is a predicted model, not a curated record. NCBI's taxonomy places the organism in Eukaryota, Metazoa, Chordata, Mammalia, Primates, Cebidae.
AUGCUCACUUCAGCAGCACCGAUACCAAAAUUGGAACGAUACAGAGAAGGUUAGCAUGGCCCCUGCACAAGGAUGACACGCAAAUUCAUGAAGGGUUCCAUAUUUUU